AGUGGAUGGGGAGCAACCUAGUUGUGCGUGUGUAAAGGUAGUGCCAAGAAAAGCGAUGAUCAUGUUGAAAAUCAAUUCCCGGUACCCGAAACCGACACAGGUGGGCAAGUAGAGAAUACUAAGGGGCGCGAGGUAACUCUCUCCAAGGAACUCGGCAAAAUGACCCCGUAACUUAGGGAGAAGGGGUGCCACCGAGAGGUGGUCGCAGUGAAGAGGCCCAGGCGACUGUUUAGCAAAAACAUAGGUCUCUGCAAACUCGAAAGAGGAGGUAUAGGGGCUGACGCCUGCCCAGUGCCGGAAGGUUAAAGAAGUUGGUCAGUUUUAGGAUGAAGCUAGCGACUGAAGCCCCGGUGAACGGCGGCCGUAACUAUAACGGUCCUAAGGUAGCGAAAUUCCUUGUCGGGUAAGUUCCGACCCGCACGAAAGGCGUAACGAUCUGGGCGCUGUCUCGGAGAGAGGCUCGGCGAAAUAGGAUUGUCUGUGAAGAUACGGACUACCUGCAUUUGGACAGAAAGACCCUAUGAAGCUUUACUAUAGCUUGGAAUUGUGUUCGGGCUUCCUGUGCGCAGGAUAGGUGGGGGGCGUAGAAGGUAUUCUUGUGGGGAUACUGGAGCCAACGGUGAGAUACCACUCUCAGGAGGCUAGAAUUCUAACUUAAUUAAGGACAGUUUCAGGUGGGUAGUUUGACUGGGGCGGUCGCCUCCAAAGAGGUAACGGAGGCGUACAAAGGUUCCCUCAGACUGGUUGGAAAUCAGUCGAAGAGUGCAAAGGCAGAAGGGAGCUUGACUGCGAGAAGUACAGUUCGAGCAGGGUGGAAACACGGUCUUAGUGAUCCGACGGUGCUGUGUGGAAGGGCCGUCGCUCAACGGAUAAAAGUUACUCUAGGAUAACAGGCUGAUCUCCCCCAAGAGUUCACAUCGACGGGGAGGUUUGGCACCUCGAUGUCGGCUCAUCGCAACCUGGGGCGGAAGUACGUCCCAAGGGUUGGGCUGUUCGCCCAUUAAAGCGGUACGUGAGCUGGGUUCAGAACGUCGUGAGACAGUUCGGUCCAUAUCCGAUGUAGGCGUGAGAAUAUUGAGAGGAGCCUUCCUUAGUACGAGAGGACCGGGAAGGACGCACCGCUGGUGUACCUGUUAUGAUGCCAAUUGUAAACGCAGGGUAGCCAAGUGCGGAGAGGAUAACCGCUGAAAGCAUCUAAGUGGGAAGCCCACCUCAAGAUGAGUAUUCUGGUGUAAGGUCACGGGAAGACGACCCGUAAAUAGGCACGAGGUGGAAGUGCAGAGAUGUAUGAAGCCGAAGUGUACUAAUAGACCGUCGGCUUGACC
This 1325-nucleotide ribosomal RNA is filed under the name metagenome. RNAcentral describes it as "bacterial LSU rRNA". It matches the Rfam family "Bacterial large subunit ribosomal RNA", at positions 1561 to 2925 of the family's 2925-position model. The record is from RNAcentral.